CCUUGAAGGUCGAAGUCUGACGGAGCACGCCGCGUGAGUGAUGAAGGUUUUCGGAUCGUAAAGCUCUGUUGUUAGGGAAGAACAAGUGCCGUUCAAAUAGGGCGGCACCUUGACGGUACCUAACCAGAAAGCCACGGCUAACUACGUGCCAGCAGCCGCGGUAAUACGUAGGUGGCAAGCGUUGUCCGGAAUUAUUGGGCGUAAAGGGCUCGCAGGCGGUUUCUUAAGUCUGAUGUGAAAGCCCCCGGCUCAACCGGGGAGGGUCAUUGGAAACUGGGGAACUUGAGUGCAGAAGAGGAGAGUGGAAUUCCACGUGUAGCGGUGAAAUGCGUAGAGAUGUGGAGGAACACCAGUGGCGAAGGCGACUCUCUGGUCUGUAACUGACGCUGAGGAGCGAAAGCGUGGGGAGCGAACAGGAUUAGAUACCCUGGUAGUCCACGCCGUAAACGAUGAGUGCUAAGUGUUAGGGGGUUUCCGCCCCUUAGUGCUGCAGCUAACGCAUUAAGCACUC
This 511-nucleotide ribosomal RNA is filed under the name Bacillus amyloliquefaciens. Its description in RNAcentral is "bacterial SSU rRNA". It matches the Rfam family "Bacterial small subunit ribosomal RNA", at positions 366 to 869 of the family's 1533-position model. The record is from RNAcentral. Lineage: Bacteria; Bacillati; Bacillota; Bacilli; Caryophanales; Bacillaceae.